This 1113-nucleotide long non-coding RNA is filed under the name Olea europaea subsp. europaea. Lineage: Eukaryota; Viridiplantae; Streptophyta; Magnoliopsida; Lamiales; Oleaceae. The record is from RNAcentral.
UAUUAAUUAAUCAAAUAUUAAUUCAAUAUUAAUAAUAAAAUUAAUUCCCAAUUUUCAUACAAACCCAAAAAAUCAACUCACAUUCACUGAUUCCCUCUGCCUCAUUUUCUCCUCAACGUUCCCUCUACUACCUUCCUUACAUCUCGCGUCGGAACCAUUGUCUUCCUCUCGUUCAGCGUGAAAGCACCUCGCACACAGUUGUCUCUUAUUUCUUGGAUCUGGUUUGAAACCAGUGGGAAAGUAGUGGUAGCGACGGCAACUGGUUUGUGAGAGUUUUUGUGGGUGUAGUGGUUGUGGUAUAGUGGAGAUGGUGGUGGUGGUGACGAUGGUCGUUGGUGCAGGUGGCGAUCUAUGGUGUGCAUUUGUUGAUCUUUGUGAGUUUUGUGUAUAGAAGUCGAUUAUGUGUGGUUGUGAUGGUGUUGGUGGUUCGUUGGAGUAGUAGUCGUGCUAACAGAGAUGGUGAGGUGGGGGUAAUGCAACUGGCGAUUCUUGGAAUAGUGAUGAUGCUUUUCAUUGUCGCUCUUCGUCGAUGGUGCACGGCUCUGAUUUGGGUAGAUCUAGAUCUAGAUUUUUAUUUAUUUAUUUUAUUUUUAUUUUUUUUGUGGAGUUGGAUGGUGGUGGUUGAUGUUGGCUAAGAUUGUGGUGGUGGUAGUGCGGUGGUUGUGGUGGCAUGCCAUUCAAAAUCCUAAUUUUUUGGGUGUGAUUUUAGUUGGUGAGUGGGGAAGGUGGUGGUGGUGGUGCUCGUGAGGCGGUGUUUAGGUGACGAUAGCUGUGUUGGAUCCAAUGGUGGCGGUGGUAUGUUGGAUCUAGUGGUGGCAGCGGUGGUGGCGAUAAUGUUAGUUGUUGUAUUUGAGAUAAUGGUUUUUUUUUUUUACUCGAAUUAUGGAUGAUUGUGGUUGUGGUUGUGGAUUAAUGGUGGUGGCCACAAAUUAUUUGGUUGUCUGUGACCAUUAAAAUGGUUAAUCUGUGACCAAUAAACAAUAUGUGACUAAUAAAAAGAUAACUUGUGACCAAAAAAUAAUAUGUAAACUAAAAAAUUGUUCAUCUGUAACCGAUAAUUUGACAAUUUAUGACUUGUAUAAUAGUUGUGAUUUAUAAUAUUUAUAAUUUGUG